This 3150-nucleotide long non-coding RNA is filed under the name Ananas comosus (pineapple). Its description in RNAcentral is "long non-coding RNA (ACOM_LNC000059)". Lineage: Eukaryota; Viridiplantae; Streptophyta; Magnoliopsida; Poales; Bromeliaceae. The record is from RNAcentral.
AAUCUUUUAUCUUCUGCUGCUGCUGCUGCUGCUGCUGUAAGCUUCGGAAUGUGAGGGUUUCUUCUGAUUGCAGCUUCCUUCCUCUUCUCCGUCGAUUGCAUCGUAAUGACCGCAUUUGCACGAGGUGCGCUUCUACCUGUAGUUAUUUAUCGGAAAGUGCUCAAUAAGCAGUGGUUAUGGGGACGUGUUUGGCCUGACUUUGCAUUGACGCAUCAGAUUGCACUGCAGUUCACAACUAUUGGAGCUGCUUUGCACCAGUGCAUUUUCGCAGCGGUGGGACGGACCAUGCAAAAGCCUCUCUCCGAAACUGGUCAGCAAAUGCAACAACGACACACACGGCACUCGAAAAGCUCUAUCAAACAAGCCCUAAGUAAGUUAUUCUAUGGAACCUCUUACCUCCUAGCAUGAACGGCGAACCGUUCCAGUAUUGGCAGUAUGCGGCGGUUGCUGCAACGCCGGCCAUAUCUCUCUCUCUCUCUCUCUCUCUCUCUCUCUCAAGCUAGCUCUUUGUCAAGUAUGGUUUGGCACAAACAGUACACUACUGAAUAUUAUACUGUACACCGUUGAUGAACCCCACACUUAAACACACCACAAGAUCUCUACAUUAGAUGCUCCUAACUUUUUUUUUUUAAGGAUGUACGAACACAAGAACGAAAAAAGAAGGGAAAAAAAAAAGAGACAAAGACUAAGUAGAAGAAAAGAAGAACUCAAAAAAGGUAGAGGAUCCUAUAUUCCUAUAUGAGGAGCUUCCUAAUUAUAUGUUUGUAAAUUCAUUUUGUUUUAGGAUAUAUACUUUGCUGGAUCUUUCUCUCAUUGCCGAGUGGUCUUUGCCCGCACGAAACCCUUAAGCAAAGUGUAACACGUUACUGUACCGUACACAAACACUCUUAUUGUUGACCAUUUCAUUUGGGUGCACCAACUUGUACCAGCAUUUGCGCCAAGAUAUAAGGCACUUCCAAACACAGAGAGAGAGAGAGAGAGAGAGAGAGAGAGAGAGUUGGGUGAGAGAGCGACUUACAUUACAUGUAGAAAAUAAUUGAUAUACAGAACCUAAAUCUCCCGAGUAAUCGUCCUUUUGGGCUUUAUUGGGAAAUUAUUGGACACUGAUUGUAACAUAACGGACUUUUUUUUUUUGCAAAUAAUUCUAAAAAAAAUUAUAAUAGGCUAAAUAAUCCUACUACAAAUAUAUUUAGCUAAAUAACUCUUCUUUUGCUGUGUAGAAGCCACAGUAAAAUUUUUUCUUAAAGACGGUGCAGCGUUUACCGCCUUCAUAAAUAAUUCCCCGUCUUUCUAAUUUUGUAUGAAAGCGGUAAAUCAUUCAUAACCUUUUUAAAUAUUGUUUGUUAGAAUUUUUAUGGUUGUAAUUAUUAUAUAUGAGAAAUAAAAAAGUUAGGAUUGUUUGGAUUAUGUGUUGAUUAUUAGAAGAUUGUAUGGGAUUGUAGGAUUGAACAAUUUAUCGUAUUUAAGAGAAUUUCACAAUGACUCUUAUAUGGCAAAAGGAAGAUUAAUUUGCAAAUCAUUUUUUUAUAGGAUUAUUUAUCUAAUUAGAAAAUUUUAUAGAGUUAUUCUUGAAAAAAGUUCUAUCAUAACAUUUAUGUUUUUAUUAGUAGCGUAUCAUAUUCAUUAAAGAGGGUUUGAAAUCAAUUAGCGAAUAAUAAUCAACUUUCAUGAGUCUAUUGUUGAUUUCUUUUUCCUUAACAUUUGGGAUCUCGAAAGUAGGAUGUGAAAGUUUGAGGACUUAAAUAAAACUUGAUGAUUAUGGGCGUGUUUGUUUUGCUGGAUAGUCGAGCUCCACUUGAUCUCGACUUAGCCCGGGUGACCUCAGGCAAUACAAAAUCUCACAGUCCGUAUGCUUUCAAUGGCUCUCCGUGCACGAUCACCGACUUCAACGGCCGACCCAAAUGCCCGCGCUCGCGGAUCAACAAGGUGAACAAACUUUCGCACUAGAGAUCCAGAAAAACAAAUUAGCUCGGAAAGUUCAGAGACUAGCAGUGCAAUUUACUGGUAAAUUGUUGACCAUUUAUAUCAGUGUUGAUAUAUUUGGGAUAUAUCCCUGCCUUGGGCUUGGGUUGGACCAUUUUUUUCACCUUAAUGGACCACGCCCCAAUCAUCCUGUUAACAGGCCUAGGCCCACCACUCGCCAUAGGCUCACUAAAUGGGCCGAGCUCGGAUAAAAAUGUGCUCCCCACUCUUUUGAGAAAGUAUUGAGACCCGUUAACAACUUUUUUAAUUAUGUGUGGCGAACCCUACUGUCAGCCGUCUGAUGGGUCGUCUGAACUGAAAGGAAUAAUAUCAUCUUCCAAGGAAAUUUCCUCAUCUCUUUCCACGCACGGGAGGGGAUAAAUUCCCGUCUGAACUGGAAGGAAUAAUAUCGUCUUCCAAGAAAACUACCCCAUCUCUUUCCGCGCACUGGAGAGGAUAAAUUUCCGUAUGAACUGAAAGAAAUAAUAUCGAUUUCCAAGGAAAUCACCCCAUCUCUUUCCACGCACUGGAGAGGGUAAAUUUUCGUAUGAACUGAAAGGAAUAAUAUCGUCUUUCAAGGAAACUACCCCAUCUCUUUCCACGCACUGGAGCGGGUAAAUUUUCUUCUUAACUCGUGGAAAGAGGUCAGUAAUUGCUAAUUGAGGACGGCCGACACGCAGCUUCUUUUGUCUCGGAACAGCUGAUCAUUCCUCUCAUGCUUUUUCUAUUUUUCUACCGUCUAUUUUCUAGUUUCUUUCUCUCUUUUCUUCUGUUUUUUUGGCAUAUUUUUUUCUUCUUUGUCUUACGAGGCUUUGGCUGCUUUCAUUUUGUAUGCUUAGUUCAUUUUACUUAAUGAAUGAAGUGAGUAGCUUUAUUAUUUUUCUCUCAAAAAAAAAAUUUAUGUGUGGUGAAGUAUGCUAAUAAUUAAAUGAGCAAUUUCCGAGCUACAUCAACUUACUAACAUCUAAAACAAGCACAACACUGUUAAAUUCGGCCCUCGCUCCUCUCAUUAAUGACUGUAAAAAUUUAUUACGGUUGCAUUCAAAUAUUAUUAUCUUCUAUGUUAAAAGAGAUGAAAAUACAUAAGCUCAUAAUAUUGCCAAUACAACUUUACGAUCAUGUUCAACUACUGUCUAACUCUUUUGUCAUCUUUGAUGUAUGUCUAAUUUGCUAAUAAAACAGCCCACG